RNAcentral lists this long non-coding RNA (1284 nucleotides) under Mus musculus (house mouse). RNAcentral describes it as "long non-coding RNA chr1:178732706-178733990". The record is from RNAcentral. Lineage: Eukaryota; Metazoa; Chordata; Mammalia; Rodentia; Muridae.
GACCAAGGGACAGGGAGACGAUUCUGGCCUGUGUGUAUCACCAGAAAGUAGUGCCAGCUUCAUGUUGGGAAGUGAAGAGACAGGAUGCCUGGGGCCCUCUCAGCACAGGAGUAGAAGGUCUGUGUUGGAAAAGAGUCUAGUUGAGAGAAAAGAAAGCACUCUUUUCCCAGAUGUCGGCACCUCAGCCACAACUAAACAAGCCUCUUUGUCUGUGGCUGGCAUCUUGUUUGAUGUGAUCCUGUAGUUUUCUGAUGCUCUGUGACCACCAGGGCAUCCUUCUCCUUUCUUGCCCCGCCCUGAGUCAUCUACCAGCUUCCCCCACACAGAGGUUCCAAUCCUCUCAGCUAACAAGUGUGUGACUCCAACCUUAACGAGCAAACAGACAGACUCCAGAGAGGAACAGGAGUAGGACAUUCCUAUACUUCUAUGUUGAGAUGGAUAACCAAAGCUAACCACACCAGCAGAAGGUGAGCAACACAUUAAACAGAGGGGAAAGGAUAAUAAAAUAUCGCCUGCUGUUUAACAAUCGCCGGGUGGAAACAUUCCGGGAACUGUGCAGCUGCCGCACUUGAUGGCUCAUAAAGCCCCUGUAACGUCCGUCAAGGGCCUUUUUUCUUGGUGAGGGGCCAUUUUUUUCCAUGCAGUUAUGAUAGCAUCUGGUUCCUGUCCCUAGAAGUACAGGGAAUCCACAGGCUCGGGCAGUGGCUGCCAGGGGAAGAACUGGGCUGCAGAGGCAUCUGGCUCCUUGGAUGACUUUGGGGGUCACUUCUGACCUAAAGGGCAUUAUCACAAAAAUGCAGAUUAGGAUUCAGUGGGAAGUCACUGUCACCUGUUGUGUGCUAGGAAGGCACUGGGUAGUUUAGCUCGUGUAUCCCCUCUACUGUGAGGUCGCCAUUCUCAUCACUGCAAAAUCAGUGUCCCAGGCUGGGUAAAGGACACAGUUAGGCCACACUGUUAACAAGUGACAGGCUGAGUUCCAAGUGGCGAAUAAGUGUAAACUGCUCGAACUAUGUCACAUCUUGCUGUGUCAUCUUUCUGCGAAGAUGGAGGGUACAUGGCAUAUGGAAAAAAAAAAAGUCUCUGCAUUUGCUUAGCCUACCUGGGUACCUGGGUAGAUGUGUUGAAAAGAGUAUUUUUCCUGAAUAAUAGACAUCAGUGGUGGCAGCCCUAAGCAUGCGCUGGUUUCCAUUGGGUUCCCCAGACCUACACCCAGAAGUAAGGAUGCCUAUGGAAUAAGAAUGUGGUCCCUAGGGUGUGUGAGAACAUUAAAUGGGAAAUAAAAAU